Molecule: transfer RNA, 70 nt
Filed under: Sceloporus clarkii
Lineage: Eukaryota; Metazoa; Chordata; Lepidosauria; Squamata; Phrynosomatidae
Description: tRNA-Gln
Rfam family: tRNA
About the family: Transfer RNA (tRNA) molecules are approximately 80 nucleotides in length. Their secondary structure includes four short double-helical elements and three loops (D, anti-codon, and T loops).
Source: RNAcentral
UAGGAGAUAGAAUAAUGGAGUUCUUAAGAUUUUGAGUCUUUGUGUGCAGGUUCGAGUCCUGUUCUUCUAA